GACGGAGGGUGCUAGCGUUGUUCGGAAUCACUGGGCGUAAAGGGCGCGCAGGCGGGUCAUCAAGUCAGGGGUGAAAGCCCAGAGCUCAACUCUGGAACUGCCCUUGAAACUGGUGACCUUGAGUACGGGAGAGGUGAGUGGAAUUCCCAGUGUAGAGGUGAAAUUCGUAGAUAUUGGGAAGAACACCGGUGGCGAAGGCGGCUCACUGGCCCGUAACUGACGCUCAGGCGCGAUAGCGUGGGGAUCAAACAGG
Molecule: ribosomal RNA, 253 nt
Filed under: uncultured bacterium
Lineage: Bacteria
Description: partial 16S ribosomal RNA
Rfam family: Bacterial small subunit ribosomal RNA
Source: RNAcentral